CGGCGUGUAGCUCAGUGGUGAGAGCGGCGUCCUUAUAAGACGUGAGUAGAGGGUUCGAUUCCUUCCACGCCGA
This 73-nucleotide transfer RNA is filed under the name Planctomycetota bacterium. RNAcentral's name for it is "Planctomycetes bacterium (activated sludge metagenome) tRNA-Ile". It matches the Rfam family "tRNA". From Rfam's summary of the family: Transfer RNA (tRNA) molecules are approximately 80 nucleotides in length. Lineage: Bacteria; Pseudomonadati; Planctomycetota. The record is from RNAcentral.